GCUGUGAUGGCCGAGUGGUUAAGGCGUUGGACUCGAAAUCCAAUGGGAUAUUCCCGCGCAGGUUCGAAUCAUGUUCACAGCG
Molecule: transfer RNA, 82 nt
Filed under: Haliotis rubra (blacklip abalone)
Lineage: Eukaryota; Metazoa; Mollusca; Gastropoda; Lepetellida; Haliotidae
Description: tRNA-Ser
Rfam family: tRNA
About the family: Transfer RNA (tRNA) molecules are approximately 80 nucleotides in length.
Source: RNAcentral